AUUGAACGCUGGCGGCAGGCCUAACACAUGCAAGUCGAGCGAGCGGCGGACGGGUGAGUAAUGUAUGGGGACUGCCCGUUAGAGGGGGAUAACUACUGGAAACGGAAGCUAAUACCGCAUACUAUCGGAUAACCCAUAUGGGAUGAGCUAGUAGGUGAGGUAAUGGCUCACCUAGGCGACGAUCCCUAGCGGGUCUGAGAGGAUGAUCAGCCACACUGGGACUGAGACACGGCCCAGACUCCUACGGAGGCAGCAGUGGGGAAUAUUGCACAAUGGGCGCAAGCCUGAUGCAGCAAUGCCGCGUGUAUGAAGAAGGCUCUAGGGUUGUAAAGUACUGUCCGUCGGGAGGCGUUACCGACAGAAGAAGCACCGGCUAACUCCGUGCCAGCAGCCGCGGUAAUUC
Molecule: ribosomal RNA, 403 nt
Filed under: uncultured bacterium
Lineage: Bacteria
Description: partial 16S ribosomal RNA
Rfam family: Bacterial small subunit ribosomal RNA
Source: RNAcentral